AUGAGACGACAUCCACUUGAGCAAGUAAACCAGGUGCGGCGCAGACGCAGAGAGAAAGAAAGGAAGCAAGGGGAGGAACAGGAUCUAGGGGCUGCUAUGGCGUCGGCGGCGAGCAGGAAGGCGCCGUCGCUGGUGGUGGCGGCAAGCGUGGGCGCCGUGGAGGCGCUCAAGGACCAGGCGGGCCUGUGCCGCUGGGGCUACCCGCUCCGCUCGCUCUACCGCCACGCCGCCGCCGCGCCCAGGGUCCGCGCCCUGUCCGCCUCGCUCUCCGAGGCAGCGGCCGCCGCGGCUCCCCGACCGGCGCCUUUGUCCGCGGAGGACGCGAAGCUGCGCAAGGCGCACCACCUCGUCUGCUGGGGCCCCAACUGA
RNAcentral lists this ribosomal RNA (369 nucleotides) under Triticum aestivum (bread wheat). RNAcentral describes it as "partial small subunit ribosomal RNA". Lineage: Eukaryota; Viridiplantae; Streptophyta; Magnoliopsida; Poales; Poaceae. The record is from RNAcentral.